AACGAACGCUGGCGGCAGGCUUAACACAUGCAAGUCGAGCGAAGACUUCGGUCUUAGCGGCGGACGGGUGAGUAACGCGUGGGAACGUACCCUUUACUACGGAACAACUCCGGGAAACUGGAGCUAAUACCGUAUGUGCCCUUCGGGGGAAAGAUUUAUCGGUAAAGGAUCGGCCCGCGUUGGAUUAGCUAGUUGGUGGGGUAAAGGCCUACCAAGGCGACGAUCCAUAGCUGGUCUGAGAGGAUGAUCAGCCACAUUGGGACUGAGACACGGCCCAAACUCCUACGGGAGGCAGCAGUGGGGAAUAUUGGACAAUGGGCGCAAGCCUGAUCCAGCCAUGCCGCGUGUGUGAUGAAGGCCUUAGGGUUGUAAAGCACUUUCACCGGAGAAGAUAAUGACGGUAUCCGGAGAAGAAGCCCCGGCUAACUUCGUGCCAGCCGCCGCCGUAACAC
This 452-nucleotide ribosomal RNA is filed under the name uncultured bacterium. RNAcentral describes it as "bacterial SSU rRNA". It matches the Rfam family "Bacterial small subunit ribosomal RNA", at positions 29 to 526 of the family's 1533-position model. The record is from RNAcentral.